This 771-nucleotide ribosomal RNA is filed under the name uncultured Neocallimastigales. RNAcentral's name for it is "partial large subunit ribosomal RNA". It matches the Rfam family "Eukaryotic large subunit ribosomal RNA", at positions 18 to 644 of the family's 3401-position model. Lineage: Eukaryota; Fungi; Neocallimastigomycota; Neocallimastigomycetes; Neocallimastigales. The record is from RNAcentral.
UCAGACGAUGCGUCAUGCAUAUCAAUAAGCGGAGGAAAAGAAACUAACAAGGAUUCCCUCAGUAACGGCGAGUGAAGCGGGAAGAGCUCAAAUUUGAAAUCUUGAAAGGUCACCUUUCACGAAUUGUAGUUUAAAGAAGUGUUUUCUGUUACGAUCGUAAUAUAAGUUCUUUGGAAUAGGACAUCACAGAGGGUGAGAAUCCCGUCUAUGAUUGCGAUUUGUAGCUUUGUGAUACACUUUCAAAGAGUCGGGUUGUUUGGGAAUGCAGCCCAAAACGGGAGGUAAAUUUCAUCUAAGGCUAAGUAUUGGCGAGAGACCGAUAGCGAACAAGUACCGUGAGGGAAAGAUGAAAAGAACUUUGAAAAGAGAGUUAAAUAGUACGUGAAAUUGUCAAAAGGGAAGCGUUUAACACCAGUGUUGUUUUCUGAAAAUCAACCUCUGUUAGCUUUAUGCAUGUUUGUUUAGACCUAAUCAGCUAUCUUGCAUGUUCUAUUGUUUGCAGUGGUGCACUUUUCAGUUUACAGGUCAACAUCAGUUUUUUUUACCGUAAAAAAGUUAAAGAAAGGUAGCUCAUGGCUCCGGUCGUGAGUGUUAUAGUCUUUUUCCUAUGCGGUAGGAGAGACUGAGGUCUGCAGUGUAGGCUAUUUGGCUAGAUACUCAGGUGCUAUGUGAUACCAUUUCAUAAACAACUUGUUGAUUAUGUUUUGUCUAUUGCAUACUCGCUUGUACUAUCAUACCUACGCUUAGGAUGUUGACUGAUAUGUAGUCGUA